This is a long non-coding RNA of Helianthus annuus (common sunflower), 633 nucleotides long. RefSeq lists it as uncharacterized. The record is from RefSeq and is a predicted model, not a curated record. The transcript has 3 exons. NCBI's taxonomy places the organism in Eukaryota, Viridiplantae, Streptophyta, Magnoliopsida, Asterales, Asteraceae.
CUUCUCUUGUUUAUACCUACAAACACCCACAGACAAAUUUUAUGUCUAAAAAUUCUUUGAAACAUCAUCAACUUCCCCUAAAUAAGAACCCUAUCAUCAUCAACGUCCUUACAAUCCUACCCCAUAGUUCACAACCGACUUCCAACCACACGCACACCAUCCCCUUCUUCUCCGACCACGCACAAACACCCCCGCCCCUCACUCACCUCUCUCUUCAGCAGCGGCCGACACCACUCCUGGCGGCGGCGGCGGCGGUUUUCCGGCUCCAACGGCAAUGAACGCCGGCAACGACAAACGAUAAACGCAGUUGCGGCGGUGAUGGUGUUAUUCGACUAAACCCUUGUUUGCUGUUACGUUGAAGAUGGCGAUGGUGGUGAUUACCAGAUUCGAAUCUUGGGUUAAGCGGGUCAGUUUUGGUUCGAGUUUCGGUUUGUUCGGUUCACACGGUUCGGUUCCGGUCAGGUUGUAGCUCGGUUUCGCGUCCCUUCGUUCACUGUUUCGGGUAAUCUCUUGUGUUCUCUCGGAAUCCUUUUCCCAAUCCAUUACUCGUGCGCUUAUUUACAAGGAAUCCUUAUACGCAAUUAUGUUGAUGAUGACGAUGCUAUAAAAAGAAGUAGCGUUGAUGCCUAGAUA